AACCCAUGCAUCAAACAAUUAUUAAGUAAUUCCUUAAUUUGUUCCCAAGCUUCAUAUAGUGUUUCAUCCUCUAAUUGCCAAAAAGAUGUGAUGUCAUUUCUAUGCUU
This is a non-coding RNA of Gossypium raimondii (Peruvian cotton), 107 nucleotides long. Lineage: Eukaryota; Viridiplantae; Streptophyta; Magnoliopsida; Malvales; Malvaceae. The record is from Rfam.